RNAcentral lists this ribosomal RNA (437 nucleotides) under uncultured bacterium. RNAcentral describes it as "bacterial SSU rRNA". It matches the Rfam family "Bacterial small subunit ribosomal RNA", at positions 954 to 1392 of the family's 1533-position model. The record is from RNAcentral.
UGGGAACGCGAAGAACCUUACCAGGGCUUGACAUCCCUCUGACCGGGUGGUAACGCACCCUUCCCUUCGGGGCAGAGGAGACAGGUGGUGCAUGGUUGUCGUCAGCUCGUGUCGUGAGAUGUUGGGUUAAGUCCCGCAACGAGCGCAACCCUUGUCAUUAGUUGCCAGCAGUUCGGCUGGGCACUCUAGUGAGACUGCCGGGGAUAACUCUGAGGAAGGUGGGGAUGACGUCAAAUCAUCAUGCCCCUUAUGUUCUGGGCUACACACGUGCUACAAUGGCUGGUACAGAGAGAAGCAAAACCGCGAGGCGGAGCAAAUCUCCAAAACCAGUCCCAGUUCGGAUUGCAGGCUGCAACUCGUCUGCAUGAAGUCGGAAUCGCUAGUAAUCGCGGACCAGCAUGCCGCGGUGAAUACGUUCCCGGGUCUUGUACACACCG